UACGGGGGGGGCAAGCGUUGUUCGGAAUUACUGGGCGUAAAGGGCUCGUAGGUGGCCAACUAAGUCAGACGUGAAAUCCCUCGGCUUAACCGGGGAACUGCGUCUGAUACUGGAUGGCUUGAGUUUGGGAGAGGGACGCGGAAUUCCAGGUGUAGCGGUGAAAUGCGUAGAUAUCUGGAGGAACACCGGUGGCGAAGGCGGCUCACUGGCCCGAUACUGACGCUGAGGCACGAAAGCGUGGGGAGCAAACAGG
Molecule: ribosomal RNA, 253 nt
Filed under: uncultured bacterium
Lineage: Bacteria
Description: partial 16S ribosomal RNA
Rfam family: Bacterial small subunit ribosomal RNA
Source: RNAcentral